GUGUCAGCCGCCGCGGUAAUACGGGGGGAGCGAGCGUUGUCCGGAAUCACUGAGCUUAAAGGGCGCGUAGGCGGAACGGCAAGUGUCUUGUGAAAUCCCCCGGCUUAACCGGGGAAUGGCUGGGCAAACUGCCGUUCUUGAGGCAAGCAGGGGUGCGCGGAACUCUUGGUGGAGCGGUGGAAUGCGUAGAUAUCAAGAGGAACGCCGAUGGUGAAGACAGCGCACUGGGCUUGUCCUGACGCUGAGGCGCGAAAGCGUGGGGAGCAAACAGGAUUAGAUACCCUGGUAGUCCACGCCCUAAACGAUGCCUACUAGGUUGGGGAGGUUCUGACGCCUUCGCAGCCGAAGCAAAAGUGUUAAGUAGGCCGCCUGGGGAGUACGGUCGCAAGGCUAAAACUUAAAGGAAUUGACGGGG
RNAcentral lists this ribosomal RNA (415 nucleotides) under uncultured prokaryote. Its description in RNAcentral is "bacterial SSU rRNA". It matches the Rfam family "Bacterial small subunit ribosomal RNA", at positions 505 to 918 of the family's 1533-position model. The record is from RNAcentral.